Molecule: ribosomal RNA, 253 nt
Filed under: uncultured bacterium
Lineage: Bacteria
Description: partial 16S ribosomal RNA
Rfam family: Bacterial small subunit ribosomal RNA
Source: RNAcentral
UACGAAGGGGGCUAGCGUUGCUCGGAUUGACUGGACGUAAAGGGCGCGUAGGCGGAUAGUACAGUCAGGCGUGAAAUUCCUGGGCUCAACCUGGGGGCUGCGUUUGAUACGUAUUGUCUGGAGUUCGGAAGAGGGUCGUGGAAUUCCCAGUGUAGAGGUGAAAUUCGUAGAUAUUGGGAAGAACACCGGUGGCGAAGGCGGCGACCUGGUCCGAUACUGACGCUGAGGCGCGAAAGCGUGGGGAGCAAACAGG